UCAGGACCUCUGGAAGAACAGCUAGUG
This 27-nucleotide non-coding RNA is filed under the name Cricetulus griseus (Chinese hamster). Lineage: Eukaryota; Metazoa; Chordata; Mammalia; Rodentia; Cricetidae. The record is from RNAcentral.